CUAUGCGCCUUGCAGCCCGCUCAGUCAGAGUUUGAUCCUGGCUCAGAAUGAACGCUGGCGGCAGGCCUAACACAUGCAAGUCGAACGGAGUUAUAUUGUAGCUUGCUAUGGUAUAACUUAGUGGCAGACGGGUGAGUAAUGUAUAGGAAUCUACCUAGUAGUACGGAAUAAUUGUUGGAAACGGCAACUAAUACCAUAUACGCCCGUACGGGGGAAAAAUUUAUUGCUAUUAGAUGAGCCUAUAUUAGAUUAGCUAGUUGGUGGAGUAAUAGCCUACCAAGGCAAUGAUCUAUAGCUGAUCUGAGAGGAUGAUCAGCCACACUGGAACUGAGAUACGGUCCAG
RNAcentral lists this ribosomal RNA (343 nucleotides) under uncultured bacterium. RNAcentral's name for it is "bacterial SSU rRNA". It matches the Rfam family "Bacterial small subunit ribosomal RNA", at positions 1 to 334 of the family's 1533-position model. The record is from RNAcentral.